AACGCACAUUGCGCCCCUUGGUAUUCCGAGGGGCAUGCCUAUUCGAGCGUCAUUAUCACCCCUCAAGCUCAGCUUGGUGUUGGGGCCUGCCAUCACGGCAGCCCCUAAAAUCAGUGGCGGUGCCCUCAGGCUCUAAGCGCAGUAAUUUCUCUCGCUACAGACCCCUGGAGGCGCCCGCCAGCAACCCCCCAUUUUUUUUAAUGAUUGACCUCGGAUUAGGUAGGGAUACCCGCUGAACUUAA
This 242-nucleotide unclassified non-coding RNA is filed under the name uncultured Helotiales. RNAcentral describes it as "sequence contains ITS2". The record is from RNAcentral. Lineage: Eukaryota; Fungi; Ascomycota; Leotiomycetes; Helotiales.